RNAcentral lists this long non-coding RNA (200 nucleotides) under Populus tremula. RNAcentral describes it as "long non-coding RNA (PTRE_LNC001307)". Lineage: Eukaryota; Viridiplantae; Streptophyta; Magnoliopsida; Malpighiales; Salicaceae. The record is from RNAcentral.
UAGAAUAGAAGGAACUAACUCGAUAUUUGAGAUCUCUUGGCUGCUGAUGCCACUGAGCUUCAAUUGCAAACUCAUCUAGCAAAUCAUCAGCAUCAUAAGCUGCAUCCUUGAUGUCUCUGAGCCACGCCUUUAUAGGCCCACUCUUCCACUGCUUCUCCUCUGCAUCUCGCAUCACAGCUCGAAUAGUUCUGAACGUGCGG